CAAACACAGCUAGAUGCCUAUCAUUUCAAGCGGGGGUUACGGGCGCAACUCUUACCCUAACCCCUUUCCUAAGACCAUUGGCAGGACCACAAACAAACUACAACAGAUCGCAUAAAAGAACAAGGAGCAGUGUUGAGAGGGGCAUUGACCAAUUCAAACGCAGAUUUCCUGUUCUUCAUGGGGAAAUCAGGUUAAAACCUGAGAAGGCUUGCAAGG
This is a long non-coding RNA of Haliotis rubra (blacklip abalone), 216 nucleotides long. RefSeq lists it as uncharacterized. The transcript has 2 exons. Lineage: Eukaryota; Metazoa; Mollusca; Gastropoda; Lepetellida; Haliotidae. The record is from RefSeq and is a predicted model, not a curated record.